This 469-nucleotide ribosomal RNA is filed under the name uncultured bacterium. RNAcentral's name for it is "partial 16S ribosomal RNA". It matches the Rfam family "Bacterial small subunit ribosomal RNA", at positions 28 to 507 of the family's 1533-position model. The record is from RNAcentral.
GACGAACGCUGGCGGCGUGCUUAACACAUGCAAGUCGAACGGUGAAGCGAGUGCUUGCACUCGUGGAUCAGUGGCGAACGGGUGAGUAACACGUGAGUAACCUGCCCAUCACUCUGGGAUAAGCACUGGAAACGGUGUCUAAUACUGGAUACGACCAACCCUUGCAUGAGGUGUUGGUGGAAAGAUUUAUCGGUGAUGGAUGGACUCGCGGCCUAUCAGCUUGUUGGCGGGGUAAUGGCCCACCAAGGCGACGACGGGUAGCCGGCCUGAGAGGGUGACCGGCCACACUGGGACUGAGACACGGCCCAGACUCCUACGGGAGGCAGCAGUGGGGAAUAUUGCACAAUGGGCGAAAGCCUGAUGCAGCGACGCCGCGUGAGGGAUGACGGCCUUCGGGUUGUAAACCUCUUCCAGCAGGGAAGAAGCGAAAGUGACGGUACCUGCAGAAGAAGCACCGGCUAACUACGUG